AUGCCACAGUUUAGAUCAUGCACUUCUCACUCUGAAGCCAAAAACUCAGACACAGCACUCCUCCAAAACCCUGAGAGGCAGCCAUGGACUCUGGGGCUGCAGGAUGCAGUGAAAAAUUGCACAGACACCAGGAACAGUGCAGCGCUGGCUGGGAGAAGCAGAGUUACUCUCCAAGAAAUGUGCCAUUCUGCAGCCAGCAUUUGCCUUACACAGGUGAUGUUCCUCACAACUGAGCACUCUGAUGCCAACAGCAGCAAUACGGAAAACCACUCUGGGACAGAGCAGCAGGAAAAGCUGCCUCGAGACUUCCCAGAGAUAUGACAGGAGCACCCUCAGUGUGAUGCCUGUCGAGGUUCCUUGAGGUGCACCUGUAGAUGCUGCCAAGUGUCCUUGAGCAGUCAGAGCAGAAUAAGGUUUCUAGCAUGCUGUAAGAAAGAAAUAACAUUUAUUCAGAAGAAAAUAAAAGGAAGCACCUCUCCCCAUCCAUUUUCUUAAAAAAAAAAAAAAUAAUGCAUUAGAAUUUUUUAAAGCAUUUAUUCUUGCUUUACACAGUGUAAAUUAUGAGCUUUCAUCUUUCAGUCUGAGUUUGCCACAGCUCCUCAGGCUGACUGAUCUCAGGAAGACCAUCAGAAUCACUAAACGGUGGUCGGGACAUUAAAGCUCAUCCCAUUCCACCCCCUGCCGUGGGCAGGGACACCUCCCAGUGUCCCAGGCCAGGCUGGACACUGGGGCUUGGAGCAGCCUGGGACACUGCCAGGGAUCCAGGGGCAGCCACAGGGGCCUGGCCACCCUCACCGGGAAAAACUUCCUGUGAUACUCACCUAACCCUGCCUUCCUUCAUC
RNAcentral lists this long non-coding RNA (842 nucleotides) under Taeniopygia guttata (zebra finch). RNAcentral's name for it is "lncRNA (ENSTGUG00000026186.1)". The record is from RNAcentral. Lineage: Eukaryota; Metazoa; Chordata; Aves; Passeriformes; Estrildidae.